AGUGGAGAGUGGAGACUCUCAUUGUGGAGAGUGGUUUGGAAGUCCUAAUGCCUGUUACUGACAGGGUGGGCAAGUGAAAAACCUCACAAGAAAGAACACAUUCUCUCUGAAGAAAGAAAAUAAAAGCAAGUAGGAGAACCACAGUUUCCUAUUAGACAAGAAGUGACAGGUUACCGUAAUCCAGAUGUCCUUGAAGUUAGAAGCACUUAGGAAAACUUUUGCUUUGAGUGCAUUGUAUAGGACCACAUUAACAGGUCUGCUGGAGUUUGCUGGGGAUCCACCCCAGACUCUGUUUGUCUGCAUAUCGCCAGUGGAGGCUACAGAAUAGCAAAGAUUGCUGCCUGCUCCUUCCUCUGGAAGCUUCGUCCCAGAGGGGGACCUGCCAGAUGCCAGCUGGAGCUGUUUUGUAUAAGGUGUCUGUCGACCUCUGCUGGGAGGUGUCUCCUUGUCAGGAGGCACGGGGGUCAGGGACCCACUUGAGGAGGCAGUCUGUCCCUUAGCAGAGGUUGAGCACUGUGCUGGGAGAUCUGCUAGAUCUGCUGCUCUCUUCAGAGCUGGCAGGCAGGAACGUUUAAUUCUGCUGAAGCUGUGCCCACACCCCAAACUUUUGCCUUUUUAAGAAUUAGUUAUCUGAUAGAUUUUUUUAACAAUUGUUUUAUAUUUUUAUUAUUUACAUAACAACUGUAUUGAGAUAUGAGUUACGUACCAUAUAAUUCACCAAUUUAAAAUAUAUGGUUUUAAUGAGAACACAUGGACACAUGGAGGGAACAACACACACUGGGGCCUGUAGGGUGGUAGGGUGGGGGGAUGGAGAGCAUCAGGAUAAAUAGCUAAUGCAUGCUGGGAUUAAUACCUAGGUGAUAGGUUGAUAGGUGCAGGAAACCAUGGCACUUGUUUACCUAUGUAGCAAGCCUGCACAUCCUGCACAUGUAACCUGGAACUUAAAAUAAAAUUAAAAUUAAAAAAAAUAAA
RNAcentral lists this long non-coding RNA (972 nucleotides) under Homo sapiens (human). RNAcentral describes it as "novel transcript". The record is from RNAcentral. Lineage: Eukaryota; Metazoa; Chordata; Mammalia; Primates; Hominidae.